UAUCUCUGUAGAGUCUGCAUAUCAAUAAGCGGAGGAAAAGAAACUAACUAAGGAUUCCCUCAGUAACGGCGAGUGAAGCGGGAAGAGCUCAAAUUUGAAAUCUUCAAGGGUUUACCUUUACGAAUUGUAGUUUAAAGAAGUGUUUUCUGUUGAGUGUUUUGGUAAAAGUUCUUUGGAAUAGGACAUCAUAGAGGGUGAGAAUCCCGUAUUUGACCUUUACUUUCAACUUUGUGAUACACUUUCAAAGAGUCGGAUUGUUUGGGAAUGCAGUCCAAAAUGGGUGGUAAAUUUCAUCUAAAGCUAAAUAUUGGCGAGAGACCGAUAGCGAACAAGUACCGUGAGGGAAAGAUGAAAAGAACUUUGAAAAGAGAGUUAAACAGUACGUGAAAUUGUCAAAAGGGAAGCGUUUGACACCAGUGUUGUUUUUCUGAAAAUCAAUUAAAGAACUGUUUAUGCUAAGCUGUUUAGACUUUAUCAGCUAUCUGUUUAGUUUUGAGCUUUUCUUUAAUGCACUUUUCAGUUAACAAGUCAACAUCAAUUUCUUUUGCUGUAAAAAAGCUUGAGGAAGGUGGCUUGAGAUUCGUCUUAAGUGUUUAUAGCCUCUUGCCUAUGCAGUCGGAGAGAUUGAGGUCUGCAGCGUAGAUCCUUCGGGGCUAAAUGCAUUUGUGCUAAGUUAUAGCAUUUUAUAGACAACUUGUUGACUAUGAUUUGUCUUGUAGCUUACUCGCUUAUGUUAUUUUACCUACGCUUAGGAUGUUGACGAUCAGCUGAGCGCG
RNAcentral lists this ribosomal RNA (776 nucleotides) under uncultured Neocallimastigales. RNAcentral's name for it is "partial large subunit ribosomal RNA". It matches the Rfam family "Eukaryotic large subunit ribosomal RNA", at positions 24 to 639 of the family's 3401-position model. The record is from RNAcentral. Lineage: Eukaryota; Fungi; Neocallimastigomycota; Neocallimastigomycetes; Neocallimastigales.